This 429-nucleotide ribosomal RNA is filed under the name Pseudomonadota bacterium. RNAcentral describes it as "Proteobacteria bacterium partial 16S ribosomal RNA". It matches the Rfam family "Bacterial small subunit ribosomal RNA", at positions 355 to 776 of the family's 1533-position model. Lineage: Bacteria; Pseudomonadati; Pseudomonadota. The record is from RNAcentral.
UGGGGAAUAUUGGACAAUGGGCGAAAGCCUGAUCCAGCCAUGCCGCGUGUGUGAAGAAGGUCUUCGGAUUGUAAAGCACUUUAAGGUGGGAGGAAGGGCAGUAAGCGAAUACCUUGCUGUUUUGACGUUACCGACAGAAUAAGCACCGGCUAACUCUGUGCCAGCAGCCGUGGUAAUACAGAGGGUGCAAGCGUUAAUCGGAAUUACUGGGCGUAAAGCGCGCGUAGGUGGUUCGUUAAGUUGCAGGUGAAAGCCCCGGGCUCAACCUGGGAACUGCAGCCAAAACUGGCGGGCUAGAGUAGGGCAGAGGGUGGUGGAAUUUCCUGUGUAUCGGUGAAAUGCGUAGAUAUAGGAAGGAACACCCGUGGCGAAGGCGACCACCUGGGCUCAUACUGACACUGAGGUGCGAAAGCGUGGGGAGCAAACAGG